This 73-nucleotide transfer RNA is filed under the name Neotoma lepida (desert woodrat). It matches the Rfam family "tRNA". Rfam says of the family: Transfer RNA (tRNA) molecules are approximately 80 nucleotides in length. Their secondary structure includes four short double-helical elements and three loops (D, anti-codon, and T loops). Further hydrogen bonds mediate the characteristic L-shaped molecular structure. tRNAs have two regions of fundamental functional importance: the anti-codon, which is responsible for specific mRNA codon recognition, and the 3' end, to which the tRNAs corresponding amino acid is attached (by aminoacyl-tRNA synthetases). tRNAs cope with the degeneracy of the genetic code in two manners: having more than one tRNA (with a specific anti-codon) for a particular amino acid; and 'wobble' base-pairing, i.e. permitting non-standard base-pairing at the 3rd anti-codon position. Lineage: Eukaryota; Metazoa; Chordata; Mammalia; Rodentia; Cricetidae. The record is from Rfam by way of RNAcentral.
AGGGAUGUAGCUUAAUAAGUAGAGUAAUUGCCUAACAUGCAUGAAGUCCUGGGUUUGAUCCCCAGCACUCCAG